GUCCCCCUCUAUCAGAAAAGGUUCUCUCUCUCUUCUCUCUCUUUCUCUCCCGUAUUCUCUCUUCCUCUGCAACGCCAUGAACGAACAUCAAAGCUCAUAGAUCGAGCUUGAAACCAACCCCAUUUUACUCCUCUCAUCCUCACGAACACAACCAUACCAACCAAACCAAGAAUGGACGAGUUUUGACUCGCCAAUUCGGAAGGUCCAAACUCGGACGAGUUGAGUUCGACGUGUUUUCAACCGAGUCACGAUGUUUUAGGACUCAGGAAAGUCUCUACGCAACUCCCUAGGGUCCCUAGUCAAGGUUUGAGGAAGCUUUGACGUGAAACAACUCGGUUUCGAGAAGUUCAAGUUUGACCUGUGCCUUUCGAGCCAAUUGCCGGCCAAACCACGGUGAUUUGGCCGGCAUACAAGUUUCCGGCGAGUCCGACGGCUUUCGAGGCGUUUUCCGGCAAAACCACUGAGAGUUAGAUGUUGUACAAGGUUGCGUGGCUCGUCAGCGGCGAAGUAUCUGUUUAGUAGCGGUGUUUACGCGUAUACGAGGAUUCUAGCAAAUCUCAGGAGAUGGUUACGUUCAGUGGUGUAACCCUCAACUUAUUACUAUACUGUCUUCUGCUCUGACAUCACGUGUGAAUAGGGUUCAAACCCGCUCAUCUGCACACUCUCUUGAUUAGGCACUUUAGGUUUAAAUUUACCCAUACCUUCCGCAUCACUACACUUUAUGGUUUCGUCACCCUUCAGGUGUCGGCCAGCACAACUCGAUUUAGAAUCCAAGUGGACAUUCCGGGUCGGGGUGUGUCAUCACUAACAUUGGGGUUGAUAUUCUAUUGCUAUUUCAAGCAUGCCAUCAACAGAGAAUUCCUUUUGAAUUCCACUGGUUGAAUAUAAUGUCGUCCUCUAAUUUAGCUAAAGAGUGACCUAAAAAGUUUAUCUUUCCAAAUUAAAUGCAAAUGUAGCUAACAUCUUUCUAAGAAACUUGGUUUUCUUUGUAAAUUACUAGCACUACCUUUUCGUUAAUACGGCCAAAUGGUAAAAAGAUUGUAUGUACGAAUCAACUAGUUUAAUGAAGUCUUGCAACAAAAAUGCUAUAUUCUACCUCGAUUUUUUGCAGCAAAAAACACUUCAAUUACGCUCUUUCAUAAAUCAAUGGUGAUAGUUUUUAUAAUAUUCUUUUGCUAUUAUGAGCAUGACAUCAACAAAGGAUUUCUUUGUUUUUCGUAUUCAAUGUCACGUUUAUCUUCAAAUUUGAGAAAAAUGAAAGUCAUAUAUGUUGUCUUUUUUUUGAGGAAUUUAUAUCAUCCAUUUGCCUUUAUAUUAAAGGUAAUUUAGGUUAAUAUAAAAUAACUUUUUUUUUAAUAAUUAUGACCCUAUCUUACUUAGUACUAGGUAUUCAUCCUCACUUGUAAAUAAGAAAUCUUAGAUUUAAUUAUUUGAUUAUUUGAAGAUUUGAUAAUAUUUUUAGAAUCAAUAUUUAAUGAUAACAUGUGAUGCCGAAAGAGAUUAGACACACUAUUUGAAUGGAAGUGAUUAUAAGGACUGCAGCAACCACAACAAUAAAAAGUACAGAGCAUGGAGAUUGAGAGAGUAUUGUUUCAACAUUGCCUUCCACUUCUGCGUUAUGCAUCGAUGUCUUUACUAAGAUCAGUUAAGAGAUUUCUUCGGAACAAUUACUUCCUCGGAUUAAUAAGGUUUGUUAACCUUGUCCCUGUCAAGCUUUGAGUUUCAACAAUUACAUUUUUGAACAAGCAAUUCCAUAUCCUUGCGAGUGAUGCUUAAGGCUACAUUUUAAUGGAAAUGUUCACUUGGUGUGGCCAAAAAACAACAAACAUGAUACAAUUUCUCUUCUUUUUCUUCAAACAUACAAAGACAUAAGAAUAGGUCCAU
Molecule: non-coding RNA, 1884 nt
Organism: Malus domestica (apple)
Lineage: Eukaryota; Viridiplantae; Streptophyta; Magnoliopsida; Rosales; Rosaceae
Source: RefSeq, a predicted model, not a curated record